GUUAUCUUUGUGGUUGCUUAAGUGGCUGGUGAUUUGAGUUUUAAAUAAUAUUAUCUUUGUGGUUGCCUAAGUGGCUGGUUAUUUGGGUUUAAAUGUUGUUAUCUUUGUGGUUGCCUAAGUGGCUGGUGAUUUGAGUUUUAAAUAAUGUUAUCUUUGUGGUUGCCUAAGUGGCUGGUGAUUUGAGUUUUAAAUAAUGUUAUCUUUGUGGUUGCCUAAGUGGCU
Molecule: long non-coding RNA, 222 nt
Filed under: Cicer arietinum (chickpea)
Lineage: Eukaryota; Viridiplantae; Streptophyta; Magnoliopsida; Fabales; Fabaceae
Description: long non-coding RNA (CARI_LNC003237)
Source: RNAcentral